GUCGAGCGAAGCACUUUGUUUUGAAUCUUCGGAGGAAGAACGAAGUGACUGAGCGGCGGACGGGUGAGUAACGCGUGGGCAACCUGCCUCAUACAGGGGGAUAACAGUUAGAAAUGACUGCUAAUACCGCAUAAGACCACGGUACUGCAUGGUACAGUGGUAAAAACUCCGGUGGUAUGAGAUGGGCCCGCGUCUGAUUAGCUAGUUGGUGAGGUAACGGCUCACCAAGGCAACGAUCAGUAGCCGACCUGAGAGGGUGACCGGCCACAUUGGGACUGAGACACGGCCCAAACUCCUACGGGAGGCAGCAGUGGGGAAUAUUGCACAAUGGGGGAAACCCUGAUGCAGCGACGCCGCGUGAGCGAUGAAGUAUUUCGGUAUGUAAAGCUCUAUCAGCAGGGAAGAAAAUGACGGUACCUGACUAAGAAGCCCCGGCUAACUACGUGCCAGCAGCCGCGGUAAUACGUAGGGGGCAAGCGUUAUCCGGAUUUACUGGGUGUAAAGGGAGCGUAGACGGCGAUGCAAGCCAGAUGUGAAAGCCCGGGGCUCAACCCCGGGACUGCAUUUGGAACUGUAUAGCUAGAGUGUCGGAGAGGCAGGCGGAAUUCCUAGUGUAGCGGUGAAAUGC
This 628-nucleotide ribosomal RNA is filed under the name uncultured bacterium. Its description in RNAcentral is "bacterial SSU rRNA". It matches the Rfam family "Bacterial small subunit ribosomal RNA", at positions 61 to 689 of the family's 1533-position model. The record is from RNAcentral.